This 554-nucleotide ribosomal RNA is filed under the name uncultured Enterobacteriaceae bacterium. RNAcentral describes it as "bacterial SSU rRNA". It matches the Rfam family "Bacterial small subunit ribosomal RNA", at positions 1 to 569 of the family's 1533-position model. The record is from RNAcentral. Lineage: Bacteria; Pseudomonadati; Pseudomonadota; Gammaproteobacteria; Enterobacterales; Enterobacteriaceae.
CGCCCUUAGAGUUUGAUCAUGGCUCAGAUUGAACGCUGGCGGCAGGCUUAACACAUGCAAGUCGAACGGUAAAGUAGCUUGCUACUUACGAGUGGCGGACGGGUGAGUAACGUAUGGGAAUUUACCGAAUGGAGGGGGACAACAGUUGGAAACGGCUGCUAAUACCGCAUAACGUCGAGAGACCAAAGGGUUUCGACUUGCCAUUUGAUGAGCCCAUAUGAGAUUAGCUAGUUGGUGUGGUAAUGGCUCACCAAGGCGACGAUCUCUAGCUGGUUUGAGAGGAUGACCAGCCACACUGGGACUGAGACACGGCCCAGACUCCUACGGGAGGCAGCAGUGGGGAAUAUUGCACAAUGGGGGGAACCCUGAUGCAGCCAUGCCGCGUGUAUGAAGAAGGCCUUAGGGUUGUAAAGUACUUUCGUGGAGGAGGAAGGGUUUACGUAAUCGUGGACAUUGACGUUACUCCAAGAAGAAGCACCGGCUAACUCCGUGCCAGCAGCCGCGGUAAUACGGAGGGUGCGAGCGUUAAUCGGAAUGACUGGGCGUAAAGGGCA